Molecule: ribosomal RNA, 350 nt
Filed under: uncultured bacterium
Lineage: Bacteria
Description: bacterial SSU rRNA
Rfam family: Bacterial small subunit ribosomal RNA
Source: RNAcentral
AGGAAUAUUGGGCAAUGGACGAAAGUCUGACCCAGCCAUGCCGCGUGCAGGAUGACGGCCCUCUGGGUUGUAAACUGCUUUUGUAUGCCAAGAAACCUCCGAACGUGUUCGGAGCUGACGGUAGCAUAAGAAUAAGGAUCGGCUAACUCCGUGCCAGCAGCCGCGGUAAUACGGAGGAUCCAAGCGUUAUCCGGAUUUAUUGGGUUUAAAGGGUGCGUAGGUGGACUAAUUAGUCAGUGGUGAAAGCCUGCAGCUUAACUGUAGAACUGCCAUUGAUACUGUUAGUCUUGAGUUCAGUUGAGGUAGGCGGAAUAUGUCAUGUAGCGGUGAAAUGCUUAGAUAUGACAUAG